GUUGCUAGGGGCGGCGGCGGCCCCAGCUGUGGGCGACCCGCGCCAGGGAAAGUUCCGUUCUAGUCGGAGGUUUGAAAAACUGUCACCUUGCUAAGGCCACGCCUGCCUUUGACAAACAACGUUUCCCGAAGCGGCGUCCCUCGGAGUUUCCCGGAACGCCCCCUGAGACUCGCCUCCUUGCUGGCGGGCCUGUGGCCGUGGGAUGCAGCCUGCAGGCAAGUCCUGGACCCUCACCGCCGUGAAGGUGAACAGGUGAGAAAGGGGAUCUCUAACAUUGAAUAGCAAUCCAGUCUGAUUCAUCUAAGGCAAUUCACAGGAAGAUCUGAAAACGUUUGAAAACCAGGAAACAGCGCGCUGGGUGGAGGCAAUCCUUAUCAUUCAAAAAAUAGAGGCUUAGAAAGAGGAAGCGUUUCUUCUUUGUCGGUGGGACCAGCUCUCCGCAUAAGACUGUUUCGAGGAAUCAUUGAGAGAUGAUAAAGCAAGAAGUAGAAAUUAAAAUAGAAGGGGCUGCAACUAAAAGUGAACAAUGAUAACCCUAGAUGCACACUUGGGAGAAUAACACUAUGUCAUCAGAACUAGCCUGUUUCUUUCACUUCGGCUCUCGGUAUUCUGAGCUGAAAUUUCAUUGAUCAGGAUUUUACCACUAUUAAAAUUGGGUUAUGUUUCGUUGCUCUCAAAAUCAUGAUUUUACCCAGAGAAUUUCCUGAUCACUUAAAAAUUGUUUAGAAAAAAUAAACAUGUAUAGCUAUACCAGUA
Galeopterus variegatus (Sunda flying lemur) is the source of this 756-nucleotide long non-coding RNA. RefSeq lists it as uncharacterized. NCBI's taxonomy places the organism in Eukaryota, Metazoa, Chordata, Mammalia, Dermoptera, Cynocephalidae. The transcript has 2 exons. The record is from RefSeq and is a predicted model, not a curated record.